RNAcentral lists this ribosomal RNA (768 nucleotides) under uncultured soil bacterium. RNAcentral's name for it is "bacterial SSU rRNA". It matches the Rfam family "Bacterial small subunit ribosomal RNA", at positions 30 to 772 of the family's 1533-position model. The record is from RNAcentral.
CGAACGUUAGCGGCGGGCCUAACACAUGCAAGUCGAACGAGAAUGAGGGAGCAAUCCCUCUAGUAAAGUGGCGGACGGGUGCGUAACACGUGGGUAAUCUACCUUCCGGCGGGGGACAACAGUCCGAAAGGAUUGCUAAUACCGCGUACGUCAGCGAGGCCUACGGGCUUUGUUGGGAAAGAUGGCCUCUCCUUGGAAGCUGUCACCGGAAGAUGAGCCCGCGGCCCAUCAGCUAGUUGGUGAGGUAAUGGCUCACCAAGGCUUAGACGGGUAGCUGGUCUGAGAGGAUGAUCAGCCACACUGGGACUGCGACACGGCCCAGACUCCUACGGGAGGCAGCAGUGGGGAAUAUUGGGCAAUGGGCGAAAGCCUGACCCAGCCACGCCGCGUGAGUGAUGAAGGCCUUCGGGUCGUAAAGCUCUGUGGGGAGGGACGAAUAAGCCCGGUAUUAACACCACCGGGCCCUGACGGUACCUCCUUAGCAAGCACCGGCUAACCAUGUGCCAGCAGCCGCGGUAAUACAUGGGGUGCAAACGUUGCUCGGAAUUAUUGGGCGUAAAGCGCACGUAGGUGGUCUGUUAUGUCGGAUGUGAAAGCCCUCGGCUCAACUGAGGAAGUGCAUCCGAAACUGGCAGGCUUGAGUAUGUAAGAGGGUCGCGGAAUUCCCGGUGUAGAGGUGAAAUUCGUAGAUAUCGGGAGGAACACCGGUGGCGAAGGCGGCGACCUGGGACAAUACUGACACUGAGGUGCGAAAGCGUGGGGAGCAAA